AGUUACAAGCAAAAGUAUACAAGCAAUGAAGUAAGUGAAUUUGGUACCAGUAUAAUUUUUUGAUAUUUACAGCCUACCAGAUGGUUUACAUUUUAUGUUUAUAUUUAUUAGCUUUCUAAAAGUACUGGUGGAGAAUUAAAAUACAAGAAUAUUAAGCAUAUUACAUUUGCCAGAAAGUUUGAUUUGUUUAAGUUUGAUUAUUCAAUAUGGCCGCAUUGGCGUACGCAUAAGAAGUGCUGUGGAACUGUCGCAGAAUACUACCAGUAAUUGCAGUAAACAUUAUGGUGAUAUUUGAUUGAACAGAUAAUUGAUGUACACGGCAUUAGAUCGUUAUUAAUUAUUAGAUUAUUAACAAGAUGGGAUUUGUAAUUUCAAGUUUGAUGAUAGUGUACUAGGUAGUUUUAUUUUGGUAACAUGAGGAUCGAUCGUAAUCGCAUUCGCAAAGGUACUUCAGAAAUACCCCCUGAAUGCGAGGGGCUUAUUGAGAAGUUAUUACUCUGCAGUCACUUGGAACUGUUGGAGGAAUUAUCUAAAAUCAGUACGUGGACAUUUGGAAAAUGUGAACUUUAUCAUUGGAUCAACAUAUUGGAUACUUUUGAUAGGAUACUAGAAGAAGCUGCAGAACCUUUCCCUGAUAAUAAAUGGGCUCUUAAUUGUGAUGU
Molecule: long non-coding RNA, 662 nt
Organism: Agrilus planipennis (emerald ash borer)
Lineage: Eukaryota; Metazoa; Arthropoda; Insecta; Coleoptera; Buprestidae
Exons: 2
Source: RefSeq, a predicted model, not a curated record